RNAcentral lists this long non-coding RNA (769 nucleotides) under Gallus gallus (chicken). Lineage: Eukaryota; Metazoa; Chordata; Aves; Galliformes; Phasianidae. The record is from RNAcentral.
GCGGAAGUCGUGCCGGGUUCAACGCUGCUGCAGCGCCGCCGGGCAGCCCCGGGGCUCCGAGCGCCGCUUCAGCUUCUCCGAAAGCCCCACGUCUACCCCUGGAGUCAUGCAGAAGGAUCUGGAUAUGUCCUGGAGGGAUUUGUGGGAGGCCAGGGAGCUCUGGACUCAUCCAGAAGAGUCUGGAGAUGUCUCAGAGGAGUCUUGGGGCAUUCAGGGCGUCCUCAUGUGGGUCUGGAGGGUUCUGGAUUCCUCGGUUGGGUCUGGAGAUGUCCCGGAGGUGUCUUGGGGAGACCAGGGGGUCCUGGAGUCUUCCAGGAGUCUCAAAAACUGACAGUUCCCACCAAAAAAAGCCCCCCUACAGCCACCAGGUGAUGCUGGGACUACCGCAGGCCUGCCUCCAGCCGGACCUGGUAACACUGGAGCUCUCUGGCGCUGCCACCAUUAUGUGCCUCCAGGAUGGGGACGUGGUGGUGUACUCUGCUGCCACCAGAGGGGACCGUGUGUGACAUCAGUGCGGAACAGCUGUCAUCGCUGUUGGGUGUUGCUUUUGUCAACAUGCAUGGGGUGUCACCGCUGGGACACCUCUGUGUCACCCCUACGGUGUCGCACCCCAAAGUUGGAGGCACCCCUCUGCAGAUCCCCUGGUGUCCGUCCUUCUGACCGCAUUGUUCCCAUGCGGGGGUGGGUAGAGUUGAGGGGCACACACUUUAUUUUGUAAAUAAGAUUUAUUUUGUGAUAACGGUGGACUGGGAGGCGCCGCCCCCCCAGA